UACGGGGGGGAGCAAGCGUUGUUCGGAUUUACUGGGCGUAAAGGGCGCGUAGGCGGUCGUGACAAGUCACUUGUGAAAUCUCCGGGCUUAACUCGGAACGGUCAAGUGAUACUGUCGGACUAGAGUACAGAAGGGGCAACUGGAAUUCUCGGUGUAGCGGUGAAAUGCGUAGAUAUCGAGAGGAACACCUGCGGCGAAGGCGGGUUACUGGGCUGAUACUGACGCUGAGGAGCGAAAGCGUGGGGAGCGAACAGG
This 255-nucleotide ribosomal RNA is filed under the name uncultured bacterium. RNAcentral's name for it is "partial 16S ribosomal RNA". It matches the Rfam family "Bacterial small subunit ribosomal RNA", at positions 524 to 776 of the family's 1533-position model. The record is from RNAcentral.